AAUUAAUAAGCUUGUAAGCAUAUAUUUUGAAAAUAUAAGAAAGAAUUAAGAUUCUAUUAAUUU
Molecule: transfer RNA, 63 nt
Filed under: Microrhagus sp. ZM-2022
Lineage: Eukaryota; Metazoa; Arthropoda; Insecta; Coleoptera; Eucnemidae
Description: tRNA-Ser
Source: RNAcentral